Molecule: ribosomal RNA, 442 nt
Filed under: bacterium CPTAC4C
Lineage: Bacteria
Description: bacterial SSU rRNA
Rfam family: Bacterial small subunit ribosomal RNA
Source: RNAcentral
CUGAACGCGAAGAACCUUACCAGGUCUUGACAUCCUCUGACACUCCUAGAGAUAGGAUUCUUCCCCUUCGGGGGACAGAGUGACAGGUCGGUGCAUGGUUGUCGUCAGCUCGUGUCGUGAGAUGUUGGGUUAAGUCCCGCAACGAGCGCAACCCUUGAUCUUAGUUGCCAGCGUUCAGUUGGGCACUCUAAGGUGACUGCCGGUGACAAACCGGAGGAAGGUGGGGAUGACGUCAAAUCAUCAUGCCCCUUAUGACGUGGGCUACACACGUGCUACAAUGGAUGGUACAAAGGGCAGCGAAGCCGCGAGGUGGAGCCAAUCCCAUAAAACCAUUCUCAGUUCGGAUUGCAGGCUGCAACUCGCCUGCAUGAAGCCGGAAUCGCGUAGUAAUCGCGGAUCAGCAUGCCGCGGUGAAUACGUUCCCGGGUCUUGUACACACGCA